Molecule: small RNA, 238 nt
Filed under: Pan troglodytes (chimpanzee)
Lineage: Eukaryota; Metazoa; Chordata; Mammalia; Primates; Hominidae
Description: processed transcript
Source: RNAcentral
CCUGUAGAAACCUCUGCGCCAUGAGAGCCAAGGCUGAAGCGCAAAAGAAGAAAGAUGAGGCAGAGGUCCAAGUAAACCGCUAGCUUGUUGCACCGUGGUGGCCACAGGAGCAGAAACAUGGAAUGCCAGACGCUGGGGAUGCUGGUACAAGUUGUGGGACUGCAUGCUACUGUCUAGAGCUUGUCUCAAUGGAUCUAGAACUUCAUCGCCCUCUGAUCGCCGAUCACCUCUGAGACCC